CCCGACCCCUCACUCUUCAAGACCUCUGUCUCUCUCUCCCUGUCUCUUCCUCUCCCCCUUCUCUCCUGAACCUUCUGGUUCUUCUACUCCGGUGGACUUCACCAUCUCUCCGGCCACCUCCAACCUUGCCUCUUUCGACCAUCAGCUACCUUGAAGCCUUAUCUCACAAGUUUCCUCCGUCCCCGAGAUCCAAUGAGUCUCCACCAUACAAGAUGCUCACUGAAGCUUUGCAUGGGUUUGAUUUUGGCCUUUCUCCGAUGAGUUUUGGUUCGAUGGUGCUAUAAACACCAUUAUUCCUAAAGUUUCACAGUUAGGUUUCUCUUACUUCUCUCACUAAAUUCAUAUGAAAACCUAAUCUCGACCCAAACCUCUUAAACUUCUAUAUUUUUAGCGAUUUUUAACUCACACCUUUAUGUCUUGCACUAUCCCCUAACCGAUCUUUACGAUUAUUCAAGUUUUAAACAUUUUUUGUUCCCUUUUAAAACUAGGGUUUCUUAACCCCUUUAGAAAACACUUUAUGUUUUGAUUUUGGGCACUAAUUCAUGAUUCUCAGUACUAUUUCUAAACAUUUUGCUUUAGUCUGAUGAAAUCCUAGCUUUAUGUGUUUGUAAUUAUAUUAUUUACUUGUUUGUGUGUUCUUCUGGGUUCUUCUCUGAGUUCCGUGCUCUUUGCUUUAUUUUUGUUGCUAGUUUCCCCUACCAUUCUGUAUUCUUCGUUUCAGGUUUCUCUAAUUGUUUACAUGGUGAUUUUAUACUGAUUUUUACAAGCUCUCUUAAGACUGUGAUUACUUGCCUUAAAUUGUGAUUUUGUGUAUUCUCCUUACGCUUUGGUAUUGAUUUCGAAUUUCUUCCUCAAUCUGUGGGAUACUUUCCUCAAUUAAUACUGAUCUCCUAGAUUUUCAAUCUCUUUCAUUAUUUUGAAAACUAUUUUCCAGAAUUAAAGUUGUAUUUUCCCUAUAUGUGUUUACAAAUAUGCUGAUUGAUUUGCCUAAUAUAUUUCCCUAAUUAAGUAUCAUGCACCUAGUGUUUAUUGUAAACCUUAUACUAUUCUGUUUCCUUAUGUGAUAAUACCAUGCUUUGUGAUUCCUUUCCUUUUAAAAUAACUGCUUAUUACCGUUUGACUUUGAUUCCUUAAUUAAAGGGGAGUCCAUAUGCUGAUUGGAUUAUGAUUGAUACGCAGUCCUUAGUUAUAGAUUUCUACCUUGUUUGUUUACUCGUCUUCAGUACUAUAAGUACCGCCAUUCUCUUUUGCAUGAGACACCAACACAUUGCAUAUCUCAAAUACACACAACAAUCACAUUGCUCUCUCUUGUACUAUUUUGUCCUUUUCUCUCUUGUUCUGUUGUUUCUCCCUGCUCCUGACUGCCAUUAGCCAGCUGAAAAGCUAAGGCUAAAACUUAUACUUGGCUUUUGCAUUCUGCUGUGCUCUCUUACUACUAGUAUGUCCUGAUUAAUUUCAGAGUUUCCAAAUCAAUAUGGUUAUUACUACUUCAGUGUGUUAUAUUCCUAAUUGUUUUCUACCUAUGCUUCUAUUGUACGACAUGUAAUUGACCCCUGAUUUUCUUGUUGAUACUUGAAUGCUCAUGACAACUAUUUGUUCCUAAUUUCAUCUGUUAUGACUACAUUAUGUUACUACUUACUUUUGUGUCGAAAUUCUACUAUUUAAAGGCCUCUUCAAACUCUUUUGGUUUUGUGUGCUCAUGCUAACUGAAUUUGCACAAGUCUUUGUAUCUCUUGGUGAUAUCAUGUGAUCUAUUAGCCCCUUUUCCCAUUAUCCUUGUGUGCAACUCUCCAAUUUUUUGGAAAACUCUUUAAACUACCAACUUUCCUCUCCUUCCCGCACUUCACACUACUCUUAGAGAUUUGGUUCUACCCUCUUCAUGUGAUAAUUGCUUUGAGUACCCCUGAGUACUCUCUAAACUUUGGCACACAAGUAUGGUAAUUACACAAUGCACCUGUCCAACAUUUUGGUAAGUGUUUGAGUGCUGGUAUUGGCCAGGGACUCAAUGGGGCCCUAGGGAGCUUUGCCUUACCCAGACCAUGACGAAGGCUAUGAAACUCGAAAGGAGUGAAGUUGGAAGAAUGGUCCCGACUGAAGGCUCCCUACAGAAUACCUUCUUAUUUUGUUCUUUAUAUUUGUAAUUUAGCUAUAAUUGGUUUGUAAUAAUUUGUAAACCAAUGAUUGGGGCUGAAUAGUGAAUAUGGGGAAUUAUGCAUGCUUAGUUUAAGUAAUGGGUAGAAAAUAUGCUUAUAGGAUUUUAUUUACUUAUUUACACAAUAGAUAACCUGUAUAGGACAUGCAUCUCAUACAUUAAAGAUCCUGCUUUAGGUUCUUUACUUUCAGCCUAUUAUUAUACUCAUUUCAUAACCAUGAUCUUUUAAUAACAAGCAAAAAUUGUUAUAAGACUAUUGAUAUAUUCUCAUUAGCAUUUAGAAAUCAUGUUUUAGGAAUUUCUAUGUGCAUUAGACAUACUGUUGCUUAGGGUUUUUAUACUUGUCUGAGUUGCAAUUGUUAAAUGCCUC
This 2522-nucleotide long non-coding RNA is filed under the name Nicotiana benthamiana. RNAcentral describes it as "long non-coding RNA (NBEN_LNC022707)". Lineage: Eukaryota; Viridiplantae; Streptophyta; Magnoliopsida; Solanales; Solanaceae. The record is from RNAcentral.